UCUUCCGUAGUAUAGUGGUCAGUAUGCAAGCUUGUCAAACACAAUAACGCUUGAGACCCGGGUUCAAUUCCCGGCGGGAGAG
Molecule: transfer RNA, 82 nt
Filed under: Fusarium duplospermum
Lineage: Eukaryota; Fungi; Ascomycota; Sordariomycetes; Hypocreales; Nectriaceae
Also listed under: 1 other name
Rfam family: tRNA
About the family: Transfer RNA (tRNA) molecules are approximately 80 nucleotides in length. Their secondary structure includes four short double-helical elements and three loops (D, anti-codon, and T loops). Further hydrogen bonds mediate the characteristic L-shaped molecular structure. tRNAs have two regions of fundamental functional importance: the anti-codon, which is responsible for specific mRNA codon recognition, and the 3' end, to which the tRNAs corresponding amino acid is attached (by aminoacyl-tRNA synthetases). tRNAs cope with the degeneracy of the genetic code in two manners: having more than one tRNA (with a specific anti-codon) for a particular amino acid; and 'wobble' base-pairing, i.e. permitting non-standard base-pairing at the 3rd anti-codon position.
Source: Rfam by way of RNAcentral